AUUUGAUAAUGUGGACAUUGUAUCUGCAACUCGCCAAAUCUUUGCCAAGCUUCGUAGAACUCCUCCGUAUGCUUCUGUCUAAAAGUUUGGAUCUUGUUUCUCAACU
RNAcentral lists this small nucleolar RNA (106 nucleotides) under Thalictrum thalictroides. Its description in RNAcentral is "Plant small nucleolar RNA R71". It matches the Rfam family "Plant small nucleolar RNA R71". From Rfam's summary of the family: R71 is a member of the C/D box family of snoRNAs containing the C (UGAUGA) and D (CUGA) box motifs. Multiple nearly identical copies of this snoRNA have been identified in Arabidopsis, and it is thought to function as a 2'-O-ribose methylation guide for 18S ribosomal RNA. The record is from Rfam by way of RNAcentral. Lineage: Eukaryota; Viridiplantae; Streptophyta; Magnoliopsida; Ranunculales; Ranunculaceae.